AGUCGUGCGAGAAACCUCCUUCGGGAGGGAGUAAAGCGGCGCACGGGUGAGUAACACGUGGGUAACGUGCCCUUGAGUCCGGGAUAACUCGGGGAAACUCGGGCUAAUACCGGAUGCGGCUGCGAGGUCUUCGGACCCUGCGGAGAAAGGUGGCCUCUGCUUGCAAGCUACCGCUCAUGGAUCGGCCUGCGUCCCAUUAGCUAGUUGGUGAGGUAACGGCUCACCAAGGCGAAGAUGGGUAGCUGAUCUGAGAGGAUGAUCAGCCACACUGGAACUGAGACACGGUCCAGACUCCUACGGGAGGCAGCAGUAGGGAAUUUUGGGCAAUGGGCGAAAGCCUGACCCAGCAACGCCGCGUGAGGGAUGAAGGCCUUCGGGUCGUAAACCUCUGUCAGGAGGGAAGAACUGGCUCUCGAAUAACACGCGAGGGCUUUGACGGUACCUCCAAAGGAAGCGCCGGCUAACUCCGUGCCAGCAGCCGCGGUAAUACGGAGGGCGCAAGCGUUGCUCGGAAUUACUGGGCGUAAAGCGCGUGCAGGCGGUCGAGUAAGUCGGUUGUGAAAUCCCCAGGCUCAACCCUGGGAACUGCA
This 590-nucleotide ribosomal RNA is filed under the name uncultured bacterium. RNAcentral's name for it is "bacterial SSU rRNA". It matches the Rfam family "Bacterial small subunit ribosomal RNA", at positions 60 to 625 of the family's 1533-position model. The record is from RNAcentral.